RNAcentral lists this ribosomal RNA (439 nucleotides) under uncultured bacterium. Its description in RNAcentral is "partial 16S ribosomal RNA". It matches the Rfam family "Bacterial small subunit ribosomal RNA", at positions 338 to 795 of the family's 1533-position model. The record is from RNAcentral.
CCUACGGGAGGCAGCAGUGGGGGAUAUUGCACAAUGGGGGAAACCCUGAUGCAGCGACGCCGCGUGGGUGAAGAAGCGCCUCGGCGCGUAAAGCCCUGUCAGCAGGGAAGAAAAUGACGGUACCUGAAGAAGAAGCCCCGGCUAACUACGUGCCAGCAGCCGCGGGAAUACGUAGGGGGCAAGCGUUAUCCGGAUUUACUGGGUGAAAAGGGGGCGCAGACGGCGAUGCAAGCCAGGAGUGAAAGCCCGGGGCCCAACCCCGGGACUGCUCUUGGAACUGCGUGGCUAGAGUGCAGGAGGGGCAGGCGGAAUUCCUGGUGUAGCGGUGAAGUGCGUAGAUAUCAGGAGGAACACCGGUGACGAAGGCGGCCUGCUGGACUGCAACUGACGUUGAGGCCCGAAAGCGUGGGGAGCAAACAGGAUUAGAUACCCGAGUGUC